GACGAACGCUGGCGGCGUGCUUAACACAUGCAAGUCGAACGGAAAGGCCCUGCUUUUGUGGGGUGCUCGAGCGGCGAACGGGUGAGUAACACGUGAGUAACCUGCCCUUGACUUUGGGAUAACUUCAGGAAACUGGGGCUAAUACCGGAUAGGAGCUCCUGCUGCAUGGUGGGGGUUGGAAAGUUUCGGCGGUUGGGGAUGGACUCGCGGCUUAUCAGCUUGUUGGUGGGGUAGUGGCUUACCAAGGCUUUGACGGGUAGCCGGCCUGAGAGGGUGACCGGCCACAUUGGGACUGAGAUACGGCCCAGACUCCUACGGGAGGCAGCAGUGGGGAAUAUUGCACAAUGGGUGGAAGCCUGAUGCAGCAACGCCGCGUGCGGGAUGACGGCCUUCGGGUUGUAAACCGCUUUCGCCUGUGACGAAGCGUGAGUGACGGUAAUGGGUAAAGAAGCACCGGCUAACUACGUG
This 468-nucleotide ribosomal RNA is filed under the name uncultured bacterium. RNAcentral's name for it is "partial 16S ribosomal RNA". It matches the Rfam family "Bacterial small subunit ribosomal RNA", at positions 28 to 507 of the family's 1533-position model. The record is from RNAcentral.